UAUGCCGAGCCGAUUGUGGUGAAGUGGAUGAUCCUAUGCUGCCGAGAAAAGCCUCUAGUGAGUGUUGUGGCGGCCCGUACCCUAAACCGACUCAGGUGGUCAGGUAGAGAAUACCAAGGCGAUCGGGUGAACUGUGGUUAAGGAACUCGGCAAAUUGCCCCCGUAACUUCGGGAGAAGGGGGACCUCUGCUGGUGAUGGGCUUUACGUUCUGAGCUGGUGGGGGUCGCAGUGGCCAGGGGGAAGCGACUGUUUACUAAAAACACAGGUCCGUGCGAAGUCGUAAGACGAUGUAUACGGACUGACGCCUGCCCGGUGCCGGAACGUUAAGGGGACCGCUUAGCCAACGCGAGUUGGCGAAGGUGAGAACUUAAGCGCCGGUAAACGGCGGUGGUAACUAUAACCAUCCUAAGGUAGCGAAAUUCCUUGUCGGGUAAGUUCCGACCUGCACGAAUGGCGUAACGACUUCCCCGCUGUCUCAACCACAGACCCGGCGAAAUUGCACUACGAGUAAAGAUGCUCGUUUCGCGCAGCAGGACGGAAAGACCCCGGGACCUUCACUACAGCUUGACAUUGGCGUUUGGAACGUCUUGUGUAGGAUAGGUGGGAGACUGGGAAGCUGUCACGCUAGUGAUGGUGGAGUCAUUGGUGAAAUACCACUCUGGUCGUUUUGAACGUCUAACUCUGGUCCGUGAUCCGGAUCGGGGACAGUGUCUGGUGGGUAGUUUAACUGGGGCGGUUGCCUCCUAAAGAGUAACGGAGGCGCCCAAAGGUUCCCUCAGCCUGGUUGGCAAUCAGGUGUUGAGUGUAAGUGCACAAGGGAGCUUGACUGUGAGACUGACAGGUCGAGCAGGAGCGAAAGCUGGGACUAGUGAUCCGGCAUCGGCGUGUGGAAGCGGUGUCGCUCAACGGCUAAAAGGUACCCCGGGGAUAACAGGCUGAUCUUCCCCAAGAGUCCAUAUCGACGGGAUGGUUUGGCACCUCGAUGUCGGCUCGUCGCAUCCUGGGGCUGGAGUAGUCCCAAGGGUUGGGCUGUUCGCCCAUUAAAGCGGUACGCGAGCUGGGUUUAGAACGUCGCGAGACAGUUCGGUCCCUAUCCGCUGCGCGCGCAGGAGACUUGAAGGGGGCUGUCCCUAGUACGAGAGGACCGGGACGGACGAACCUCUGGUGUGCCAGUUGUACCGCCAGGUGCACGGCUGGUUGGCUACGUUCGGAAGGGAUAACCGCUGAAAGCAUCUAAGCGGGAAGCUCGCCUUGAGAUGAGGUCUCCCACCCCGUGAGGGGGUAAGGCUCCCGGUAGAUCACCGGGUUGAUAGGCCGGAGGUGGAAGCACGGUAACGUGUGGAGCUGACCGGUACUAAUAGGCCGAGGACUUGACCUA
This 1379-nucleotide ribosomal RNA is filed under the name metagenome. Its description in RNAcentral is "bacterial LSU rRNA". It matches the Rfam family "Bacterial large subunit ribosomal RNA", at positions 1565 to 2925 of the family's 2925-position model. The record is from RNAcentral.